Molecule: ribosomal RNA, 468 nt
Filed under: uncultured bacterium
Lineage: Bacteria
Description: partial 16S ribosomal RNA
Rfam family: Bacterial small subunit ribosomal RNA
Source: RNAcentral
GACGAACGCUGGCGGCGUGCUUAACACAUGCAAGUCGAACGGAAAGGCCCUGCUUUUGUGGGGUGCUCGAGUGGCGAACGGGUGAGUAACACGUGAGUAACCUGCCCUUGACUUUGGGAUAACUUCAGGAAACUGGGGCUAAUACCGGAUAGGAGCUCCUGCUGCAUGGUGGGGGUUGGAAAGUUUCGGCGGUUGGGGAUGGACUCGCGGCUUAUCAGCUUGUUGGUGGGGUAGUGGCUUACCAAGGCUUUGACGGGUAGCCGGCCUGAGAGGGUGACCGGCAAAAUGGGGACUGAGAUACGGCCCAGACUCCUACGGGAGGCAGCAGUGGGGAAUAUUGCACAAUGGGCGGAAGCCUGAUGCAGAAACGCCGCGUGCGGGAUGACGGCCUUCGGGUUGUAAACCGCUUUCGCCUGUGACGAAGCGUGAGUGACGGUAAUGGGUAAAGAAGCACCGGCUAACUACGUG